UGGGGAAUAUUGGACAAUGGGCGAAAGCCUGAUCCAGCCAUGCCGCGUGCGUGAAGAAGGUCUUCGGAUUGUAAAGCACUUUAAGUUGGGAGGAAGGGCAGUAAGCGAAUACCUUGCUGUUUUGACGAUACCGACAGAAUAAGCACCGGCUAACUCUGUGCCAGCAGCCGCGGUAAUACAGAGGGUGCAAGCGUUAAUCGGAAUUACUGGGCGUAAAGCGCGCGUAGGUGGUUCGUUAAGUUGAAUGUGAAAGCCCCGGGCUCAACCUGGGAACUGCAUCCAAAACUGGCGAGCUAGAGUAGGGCAGAGGGUGGUGGAAUUUCCUGUGUAGCGGUGAAAUGCGUAGAUAUAGGAAGGAACACCAGUGGCGAAGGCGACCACCUGGGCUCAUACUGACACUGAGGUGCGAAAGCGUGGGGAGCAAACAGG
This 429-nucleotide ribosomal RNA is filed under the name Pseudomonadota bacterium. RNAcentral's name for it is "Proteobacteria bacterium partial 16S ribosomal RNA". It matches the Rfam family "Bacterial small subunit ribosomal RNA", at positions 355 to 776 of the family's 1533-position model. The record is from RNAcentral. Lineage: Bacteria; Pseudomonadati; Pseudomonadota.